Molecule: ribosomal RNA, 253 nt
Filed under: uncultured bacterium
Lineage: Bacteria
Description: partial 16S ribosomal RNA
Rfam family: Bacterial small subunit ribosomal RNA
Source: RNAcentral
UACAGAGGUCCCGAGCGUUGUUCGGAUUCACUGGGCGUAAAGGGUGCGUAGGUGGUGAGGUAAGUCGGAUGUGAAAUCUCCAGGCUCAACCUGGAAACUGCAUUGGAAACUACCUUGCUGGAGGAUUUGAGGGGGGAUUGGAAUACUUGGUGUAGCAGUGAAAUGCGUAGAUAUCAAGUGGAACACCAGUGGCGAAGGCGAAUCCCUGGAAAAUACCUGACACUGAGGCACGAAAGCGUGGGGAGCAAACAGG